Pelobates cultripes (western spadefoot toad) is the source of this 578-nucleotide non-coding RNA. The record is from the annotation of a GenBank genome assembly. NCBI's taxonomy places the organism in Eukaryota, Metazoa, Chordata, Amphibia, Anura, Pelobatidae.
GGCUCAAUUUCCCCAAUAUUUUAGAAAAUACAGCAAGAAUAGAUAUGGGUUUGUAGUUUAAUGCACACAUUUCACCACCUUUUGCAUUGGGAACACUAUUUUUCCAUUUACCAUAUUGUGGGCAAGGGCGUUGCUAGUUUUCAAGAUUGAGUCCAAAGGAAAGCUCAACAGACUACUGACUACUACACUAACAGAGAAGUGUCAUGACAUUUCCACGCAUUUUCAUUUUAUGUCCUGUCCUCUCUACAUAUGAACAGUAUGUUGCUGAUGCCCUUCAGGAUCUCAAUAAAAGUACAGGCUGAAACAAGCGCUUACUGCACAGCAAGCUAUUCAAGGUAAUCCGCAUGCUAUCUAAUAGAGGGCAAUCUUGCUAGUAGAAUGCAUUUAAAAUGGUGUGCUGGAGCAUACUAUUGACCACUCCCACCUCCUCAUUUUUUUGUGUUUAGGAAGGCAGCACAGGCAACAAAUUAGUUGUUAAAACAGAUUGUUAUGCAAACUAGUAUUUUAUGAUCUUAUGAUUUUGGAUUUUAUGCAUGUGGGCUGAGAAUAUAAUGGGAUUUUUUUUUUUAUUCUUUAUU